RNAcentral lists this ribosomal RNA (2008 nucleotides) under human gut metagenome. RNAcentral's name for it is "bacterial LSU rRNA". It matches the Rfam family "Bacterial large subunit ribosomal RNA", at positions 1 to 2033 of the family's 2925-position model. The record is from RNAcentral.
GAAAGUAAGCAAGGGCAGACGGUGGAUGCCUUGGCUCUCGGAGGCGAUGAAGGACGUGAUAAGCUGCGAAAAGCCCGGGGGAGGCGCAAAUAGCCCUUGAUCCCGGGAUAUCCGAAUGGGGCAACCCGGCAGGCUGAAGGCCUGCCAUCCCGUAAGGGAGGCGAACGUGGGGAACUGAAACAUCUAAGUACCCAUAGGAGGAGAAAAUAAACAAUGAUUCCGUAAGUAGUGGCGAGCGAACACGGAAGAGCCCAAACCCAUGUCGUCUAGGCGACACGGGGGUUGUAGGACCACGACGUGGCAAGAUAGAGUCAAGUGGAACGCCUUGGAAAAGGCGACCGUAGAGGGUGAUAGUCCCGUACACGACUGACGAUUGAAGCCUAGUGGCAUCCUGAGUAGCGCGGGACACGAGAAAUCUUGCGUGAAACUGCGGGGCCCAUCCCGUAAGGCUAAAUACUCCCGAGAGACCGAUAGCGAACCAGUACCGUGAGGGAAAGGUGAAAAGAACCCCGAGCAGGGGAGUGAAAUAGACCCUGAACCCGUCUGCCUACAAGCGGUCGGAGCGUCGUAAUGACGUGACGGCGUGCCUUUUGCAUAAUGAACCUACGAGUUACCUUCCCCGGCAAGGUUAAGUACCUAAGGUACGGAGCCGAAGCGAAAGCGAGUCUGAACAGGGCGCCAAGUCGGGGGGGGUAGACGCGAAACCGAGUGAUCUACCCUUGGCCAGGUUGAAGGUUGGGUAACACCAACUGGAGGACCGGAUGGGUAAGCGUUGAAAAGCUUUCCAAUGAGCUGAGGGUAGGGGUGAAAGGCUAAUCAAACUCGGAGAUAGCUCGUACUCCCCGAAAUGCAUUUAGGUGCAGCCUCUUUAUAGUAUAUCGUGAGGUAGAGCGACUGAUUGGAUGCGAGGGCUUCACCGCCUAUCAAGUCCAGAUAAACUCCGAAUGCGCGAUAUAUAUUUACAGGGAGUGAGGGCGCGGGUGCUAAGGUCCGUGUCCGAGAGGAGAAGAAUCCAGACCACCGGCUAAGGCCCCCAAAUGAUCGUUAAGUUGAACUAACGAGGUCGGAUCGCAGAGACAGCUAGGAUGUUGGCUUGGAAGCAGCCAUUCAUUUAAAGAGUGCGUAACAGCUCACUAGUCGAGCGAUCUGGCGUGGAUAAUAAUCGGGCAUAAACGAUCUGCCGAAGCCGUGGAUGUCGCAAGACAUGGUAGGGGAGCAUUCCAUGCCGCGUCGAAGAUGAGGGAUGACCCUUGUUGGAGCGCAUGGAAAAGCAAAUGUAGGUAUGAGUAACGAUAAGGGGGGCGAGAUACCCCCCCGCCGAAAGACCAAGGUUUCCUGAUCAACGCUAAUCGGAUCAGGGUGAGUCGGGACCUAAGGCAAAGCCGAACGGCGCCGCCGAUGGAAGAAUGGGUUAAUAUUCCCAUACUGCCUCAUGGAGUGACGUGGAGACGGAGAAGUGACAGUCCUGCCGGCUGACGGAAUAGCCGGUUGAAGGGUGUAGAUAUUGAUUCCCGUAGGCAAAUCCGCGGGGAGAGUCGAACCUGACAGUAUACCGAGUACUUGUACGAGGUAAUAUGGACGUAACCAUGCUCCCGAGAAAAUCCGCUAAACUUAUCCAUGCGGCACCCGUACCGUAAACGGACACACGUGGUCGGGUUGAGAAUACUGAGGCGCUCGAGUGACUCACGGUUAAGGAACUAGGCAAAUUGACCCUGUAACUUCGGGAUAAAGGGUCCUCGUCGUAAGGCGAGGCGCAGAGAAUAGGUCCAGGCAACUGUUUAACAAAAACACAUGGCUGUGCUAAAUGGAAACAUGACGUAUACAGCCUGACACCUGCCCGGUGCUGGAAGGUUAAGAGGAGAUGUCAUCGCAAGAGAAGCGUUGAAUUGAAGCCCCAGUAAACGGCGGCCGUAACUAUAACGGUCCUAAGGUAGCGAAAUUCCUUGUCGGGUAAGUUCCGACCUGCACGAAUGGUGUAAUGAUCUGGACACUGUCUCAACCGUGAGCU